GUGGCUAUCUAAGAGUUGGGGCUAAAGUAUGGAUCACUCGCCGAUCUGUGAUCAAAGAAAACUAUACCUGAAGAAUGGGAUACAGAUUGACCAGCACAAAAGCCAUCUCUAUCAAUCUACGCUCAU
Molecule: long non-coding RNA, 126 nt
Organism: Cucurbita maxima (winter squash)
Lineage: Eukaryota; Viridiplantae; Streptophyta; Magnoliopsida; Cucurbitales; Cucurbitaceae
Exons: 3
Source: RefSeq, a predicted model, not a curated record